RNAcentral lists this ribosomal RNA (469 nucleotides) under uncultured bacterium. Its description in RNAcentral is "partial 16S ribosomal RNA". It matches the Rfam family "Bacterial small subunit ribosomal RNA", at positions 28 to 508 of the family's 1533-position model. The record is from RNAcentral.
GACGAACGCUGGCGGCGUGCUUAACACAUGCAAGUCGAACGGAAAGGCCCUGCUUUUGUGGGGUGCUCGAGUGGCGAACGGGUGAGUAACACGUGAGUAACCUGCCCUUGACUUUGGGAUAUCUUCAGGAAACUGGGGCUAAUACCGGAUAUGAGCUCCUGCUGCACGGGGGGGGUUGGAAAGUUGCGGCGGUUGGGGAUGUACUCGCGGCUUAGCAGCUUGUUGGUGGGCUAGUGGCUUACCAAGGCUUUGACGGGUAGCCGGCCUGAGAGGUUGACCGGCCGCAUUGGGCCUGAGUCACGGCCCAGGCAGCUGCGGGGGGCAGCGGUGGGGAAUAGUGCACCAUGGGCGGCGGCCUGAUGCAGCAGAGCCGCGUGCGGGAGGACGGCCUUCGGGUUGUAAGCCGCUUUCGCCUGUGACGAAGCGUGAGUGGAGGGAAUGGGUAGAAAAGCCCCGGGUUACUUCGUGC